Molecule: ribosomal RNA, 228 nt
Filed under: uncultured archaeon
Lineage: Archaea
Description: partial 16S ribosomal RNA
Rfam family: Archaeal small subunit ribosomal RNA
Source: RNAcentral
UACGGUGAGGGAUGAAAGCUGGGGGAGCAAACCGGAUUAGAUACCCGGGUAGUCCCAGCUGUAAACGAUGCAGACUCGGUGAUGAGUUGGCUUAUUGCUAACUCAGUGCUGCAGGGAAGCCGUUAAGUUUGCCGCCUGGGAAGUACGUACGCAAGUAUGAAACUUAAAGGAAUUGGCGGGGGAGCACCACAAGGGGUGAAGCCUGCGGUUCAAUUGGAGUCAACGCCG